Molecule: long non-coding RNA, 1831 nt
Organism: Equus caballus (horse)
Lineage: Eukaryota; Metazoa; Chordata; Mammalia; Perissodactyla; Equidae
Source: Ensembl
GCGUCUCUCCCGCAGUCUCUCCCUGAUGCUCUGUCCGGCCGCCUUCCUUGCUUCUCAGAUGCGUGUGACUAGAUUGGGCCCACCUGGGUAACCAGGCUACUUUCCCAUCUCCAGGUCCACACCCUUCAUUCCACCUGCUGUCCUUUGGCCGGAUGGAAACUGAAAGAAACUUCAGUGGAAGCCGAGGCACAGACGGGGAGCUGGAGAGAGUCAGGUUCUGGGUUCACCAUAUCUUCCUAAUGCUGGGUGUCAGAUGGGGGGUCUGCGGGUCUGCAGCUUCGACCUAGAAGAUUCUGGAGCACAUGACGUUGAGAACCGUGUAGCCAAGAAUUCCUGACUAGACCACAGAUCCAGGAAGGUUGGAGAUGGUGCUCCCCCUGCUGCUGUCAGAGCUUCUUCGGGGCUCCUGCUCUCAGCUGCCCCUGUCGAGGGGGCUUCACAUGCAGGGGAGCUCAGACAAGGGCGUCCAGGGUGGAGGGGGCUCCUGACGUCAUGGCCCACGAGCCACAGUUAAUGGCAUUUUCAGUCUGGAGCUGAGGAGCUGGGGUGGGGACACUUGGAGCUGAAGGCGCCCACCUGCAGGGCCAUCUUGCUGGAGAGGAGCUGGCUUCAGCAGGGAGACCCCCAAAUGCAGAACCAGGACUGAGGGGCACAAGUUCCAGGAGAUUUUACUUCAAGACGGUGAAGAACGUUGUGACGGCUGGAGCUGUCCAACGGCCGGAGACGUGGGCUCCAGGGCGGGCUGGCCGGGCCGAGGCUCUGCCCCGCUCUUCUCGGUUGUCCCAAAGAUGUAAUCCCUUCUGCCUAAGCUUUCUCGUCAAUAACAUGGGGACAACAGCAGCAGUCACUCAUGGAGAUGAAGCGAGUUAGUACACGACAGUGCGUGGAGCUGUGUGCAGCCAGCGUUCAAUAAGUGUCAGCUGGAAUUGCUGUUGCAUCCCUAUCACCGAGGAUGGAAGGACUUGCCCUAUGGGCUGAUGGACCUCCCACGAUGCUGGAACACUCCUUGUUGAUUUGAGGGGCAUCUGGAAGACCCUUCCACCCUAAAGUAAGGUUUCCAGUUGUCUGCUAUUGUCAUGGAUCAAAAUGGGUUUUGCCUCCCAGCCUUGGCCUCUCUGGAAUGUCUCCUAGGACCUGGGGAAUAAAUGGGAAGAGUCAGUGUUUAGACCCAGCCCGGCCGUGGUGGUUCUCCCGCCGUCAGGUUGCCAUUGGUCAGAUGCCCAUCACUCGGACAUCACCAAGUCACCUAGAAUUCUUAGGCCUUUGAGAAAAAGUGUGCCGUGCAGGUCAGUGGUGUGACUAUGGGGCCAACAUCUCUGCAGGGAUCUAGGCUUGGGGACCGGAUGCAUUUCACCCCGUGGACACCACUAGCAGUUCCCUCUGCGACGGGCUCUGUUUGGUGAGAGCCUGUAGAGACGGAGAUGGCAGGACAGCGCCUGAGGAUGAGGAGGGCGAGGAUGGAGGAGAAAAUGACGAAGAUGACAGUCCUUACCACUGUCACUCACCCUUUACGAGCGCUCACAGUGUCUCAGAUACAACAUGCAAUGUUGCAGCAAACAUUGAGGCAGAUGCUGCCGUCUCCACUUCGUUUACAAGUGGACCGAGGCUUGUGGAGUUGAAGCUCCAUUUUCAAGACUACCAAGCAAGCAGGAGGUAGAGACAGGAUUAGGACUCAGUGUGGGUGUCCACGCCCUUAACCACUGAGCAAGACUGCCUGGACCAGCGACCUUGGUCCCUUGCUCAGGUAAGACUAGCUCCUUGAGAGAGAAGGACCCAUGUGUGGCACAAGCUUGGUGCCAAUGAAGUGAGUUGGAGAGAGGGGCCGUGGAGG